CCAGAACCGUUUUUAGCAGAGAUCUGGUAAACAGCAGCGUCAUUUUGGGAACACCUAGGAGGAAGAGAACAUACAGGCUGUGACCCCUCUGCCAGAGAAAGCCCCGUUCCUGAAGGCACCAUGACUUGUGUGGAAAAGAGACAAGACGAGAAGGAAAUAAGGGCAAGAGGCACAACGGACCAGAGCAUGGUGGACCAUAAAAAAUUACCUCUCCGACCGCAUGCGGCCCGCAGGCCUCCAGUUUGACACCCCUGGUCUAAACAAAUCAAGUACUCCUCGGUAAUUGGUUUAUUAACCCAAGCCUAAGCCAAUCAGCACAUGGCUCUCUCCGGACAGUAGUUCAGGGGUGAUCCAAUCAGUGCAAAGCUUAGGUCUUUCACCCUGUCCUCUAAGCCCAAAAAGGAAAGUCAUGUGGACCCCAGAGAAGGCUGAUAACCAUUUGUGAGACUGAGAAAGUCAGCCUGAGGUGGAAACCAAAGCACAGAGAAGAGCAGAGUUUCUAGAAAUGAAGAGAACCAGAUCCAGGAGUCCUGACCAAACUCUUGGACUUGUCAGUUGUGGGAGCAAUAAAUUCUCACUACUGUUUACGCUAGCUUGAGCUGAUGUUUGAUUGUUACUUCUAGAAAGCGUGCUACAACAUUCAUAUCUUCUCCUCCCUGGCCCAUGGUGCCU
Molecule: long non-coding RNA, 672 nt
Organism: Hipposideros armiger (great roundleaf bat)
Lineage: Eukaryota; Metazoa; Chordata; Mammalia; Chiroptera; Hipposideridae
Exons: 3
Source: RefSeq, a predicted model, not a curated record